AAAGUCCCGGUAAGGUUCUAAGUAUAAGCAACUAUACGGUGACCUGCGAAUGGCUCAUUAAAUCAGUUAUCGUUUAUUUGAUAGUACCUUACUACUUGGAUAACCGUGGUAAUUCUAGAGCUAAUACAUGCUAAAAACCCCAACUUCGGAAGGGGUGUAUUUAUUAGAUAAAAAACCAACGCCCUUCGGGGCUCCUUGGUGAUUCAUAAUAACUAAACGAAUCGCAUGGCCUUGCGCCGGCGAUGGUUCAUUCAAAUUUCUGCCCUAUCAACUUUCGAUGGUAGGAUAGUGGCCUACCAUGGUAUCAACGGGUAACGGGGAAUUAGGGUUCUAUUCCGGAGAGGGAGCCUGAGAAACGGCUACCACAUCCAAGGAAGGCAGCAGGCGCGCAAAUUACCCAAUCCCGACACGGGGAGGUAGUGACAAUAAAUACUGAUACAGGGCUCUUUUGGGUCUUGUAAUUGGAAUGAGUACAAUUUAAAUCCCUUAACGAGGAACAAUUGGAGGGCAAGUCUGGUGCCAGCAGCCGCGGUAAUUCCAGCUCCAAUAGCGUAUAUUAAAGUUGUUGCAGUUAAAAAGCUCGUAGUUGAACCUUGGGCCUGGCUGGCCGGUCCGCCUCACCGCGUGUACUGGUCCGGCCGGGCCUUUCCUUCUGGGGAGCCGCAUGCCCUUCACUGGGCGUGUCGGGGAACCAGGACUUUUACUUUGAAAAAAUUAGAGUGUUCAAAGCAGGCCUUUGCUCGAAUACAUUAGCAUGGAAUAAUAGAAUAGGACGUGCGGUUCUAUUUUGUUGGUUUCUAGGACCGCCGUAAUGAUUAAUAGGGAUAGUCGGGGGCAUCAGUAUUCAAUUGUCAGAGGUGAAAUUCUUGGAUUUAUUGAAGACUAACUACUGCGAAAGCAUUUGCCAAGGAUGUUUUCAUUAAUCAGUGAACGAAAGUUAGGGGAUCGAAGACGAUCAGAUACCGUCGUAGUCUUAACCAUAAACUAUGCCGACUAGGGAUCGGGCGAUGUUAUCAUUUUGACUCGCUCGGCACCUUACGAGAAAUCAAAGUCUUUGGGUCUGGGGGAGUAGCCAAUGG
Molecule: ribosomal RNA, 1079 nt
Filed under: Aureobasidium sp. B23
Lineage: Eukaryota; Fungi; Ascomycota; Dothideomycetes; Dothideales; Saccotheciaceae
Description: SSU rRNA
Rfam family: Eukaryotic small subunit ribosomal RNA
Source: RNAcentral